This 521-nucleotide ribosomal RNA is filed under the name Actinomyces graevenitzii. Its description in RNAcentral is "partial 16S ribosomal RNA". It matches the Rfam family "Bacterial small subunit ribosomal RNA", at positions 955 to 1533 of the family's 1533-position model. Lineage: Bacteria; Bacillati; Actinomycetota; Actinomycetes; Actinomycetales; Actinomycetaceae. The record is from RNAcentral.
CGCAACGCGAAGAACCUUACCAGGUCUUGACAUUGAUGGACAGAACUAGAGAUAGUUCCUCUUCUUCGGAAGCCAGAAAACAGGUGGUGCACGGUUGUCGUCAGCUCGUGUCGUGAGAUGUUGGGUUAAGUCCCGCAACGAGCGCAACCCCUAUCUUAUGUUGCCAGCACUUCGGGUGGGAACUCAUGAGAGACUGCCGCAGACAAUGCGGAGGAAGGCGGGGAUGACGUCAAAUCAUCAUGCCCCUUAUGACCUGGGCUACACACGUACUANNNNNNNNNNGCGGCAACUCGCCUUCGUGAAGGCGGAAUCGCUAGUAAUCGCAGGUCAGCAUACUGCGGUGAAUACGUUCCCGGGCCUUGUACACACCGCCCGUCACACCACGAAAGUCGGAAGUGCCCAAAGCCGGUGGGGUAACCUUCGGGAGCCAGCCGUCUAAGGUAAAGUCGAUGAUUGGGGUGAAGUCGUAACAAGGUAGCCGUAUCGGAAGGUGCGGCUGGAUCACCUCCUUUCUAGGGAGA